UUUUCUCAGUGUUGCCUCUUUCAAAUAUCAUCUUAUUUCAACCAUAAGAGCAGAUGCCGUAGUCACUGGAGUGUUGUUUUCAAACAUUCUAUUCAGUGACUCUCUUCAAAGUCCAAAGAGUGUCUUCUAUGACACUCAAGUUAUAACAACGAUAAACAGAUUCAAAAUAGGCAAACACACAACAUGAGACCUUGACUAGACUGAUUUUGCUGACUUUUGUUGAAAGUUAGAUUUGGCUGAUCACUUCCUGUGAGCAGCCUGGGCACCAGUUUGAUCCUGGAAUUCAGCCUGGAGGAGCUCACUCAGACAGCUUCCUGACUCAGACAGGUCUCAUGUGUGAAAGAGUGGGCAGUCCUGGAGUGGAGCAUCAGGCUGUAAUUGGUAGACAUAAAAAUUUAGGGGAAGUGACACAAGAGAAAAAGGUCUUUAAAAGUGGAAACAGAGACACACACAGACACUUGGAGUAAAGAGGGAAAGUUGGAGUGAAGAGACACCCUUGGAAGUGAAAAGACACACUUGGAGUGGAGACUCACAUUAGGAGUGGAAGCUCCUGAAAGAAGCAGUUCUACUGGAGUUUAGGCUGAUAAAGAAUCUGCUGAUUGAACUGACAUGUGAAUGACAUUGAUGUUUGCCCUACCCAGUUCCUUUAUUACAUAAAGUGGAAAUAUCACUAAGUCAUGCAUUUUCCAGAAGUAGGAUCCCCAAGAAUCCAUGUGACCUGACACCAGAAAGAAGCCUUUGUGAAUGCUCCCAGGACUGUGGCCUCAAUGUCUAGCCCCUUCUUAACACUGAAAUCACUGACUCAGAUUUAAGGCACUAGUAUAAAAGACACCAAGAAGUACAGAAGAAGCUUGUGUACAAGGAGGGAAAGAUAGUCUGCUCUUUGGUCUCAGUGUCUGAGACCCCAAGUGCAAAUUCAAACUCUGAUACUUCUACUAAAUGGCAAAAUCGUAAUUGCACGAACUACCACACAGGUAAGAGGAAUCCAGAUGAACUUACAUCCUGCCUGGUCCAUUUAGUCAGUACACUCCAUCACAGCUGGAGCAGCGCCAGGCUACACACUCCAUCACAGCUGGAGCAGCACUGGGCUGCACACUCCAUCACAGCUGGAACAUAGCUAGAGACCAGAGGACAUGAUUUUCUGACAAAAGCCUGAGUCUGGAAAUCCCUGGACUUCACAGAUGUGAUUCCCAGCUGCACUGACUCAGCCCUUCACUCUUCUGAGGAAGUCAAUUUAACUUCUCCACCAUGUUUAACUCUAGAAGCCUCAUGGAGACAAGAGUCUGCUUGGCAUGGACCAAUAAACACUACUCUAAAUUUACCACACCCUAAUCUUCUCUAUUUGAGUAAGAGCUUCUCCCUUGGGGUCUUUUGGCGGAAAUCUUUAGGUCUUUUGAAUAUCUAGAGGGAACUCAGCUACUGACUUACUAGCGAUGAAAAUAUGUCUUUCCUGUCACUACAAAAAGAGCCAGAUCUAGCAUGGGUAGUCCGUAUUUGGCACCAGAAAUUAACAUUGUUCAGGAUGGGGAAGGUAGUACGUGCUUCAUUUUCCAUGUCUCAUAUAACCCCUAAGCUUCCAUUCUCCCCUCUACUCCCACCAUGGUCCAAUUGGCGCUUGCAAUCCUCAUCUAGGGUGGACCAAGAUAGAAUUAUGGGCAAAGGAACAAGAACUGACCAUCUUCUGUUCUCCUUUUCUUUCCCCUCCUUCAAAAUAAAACCUAUCAGCCUUAAUCUGUCCCUGUUUCUAAUCUCUUUUACCCUCACUUUUAUUGUGCCUACUAGAGCCAUUCUCUCCCAUUAAAAAAAAAAAAAAAAAACCUUUUACUUUUCCUAAGUCUCUUCUUUUCACAUUCCUUUCUGGUACUCACUGAAAUUUAGCGUUUUCCAGAAGAUGCCAAAUCCACUGGCAUCCUUUGUAAGGCUACCUGCUCUUUCCUUCAUAUCUCACUGACACACUAUCAGGAGAAGGAGCUGGCACACUAUUUCCUCCCCUGAUGCCAAUUUCCUUUAGUGUCAUUCCUGAACAACUCCCUCUCCUACCAAAUUCACUCCAUCCUAUCCAAAUUUUUGAUGCUCUCAUCUCAGGACCUCCAGUUCACUUUCCUUUCCAGGUUCAGCAUAUGACUCACAGUCUUCUUAAUCUGAAUCCCUGACCCCUUGAAAUACCCUGGACUUAAUCUCUUCCAUACCCACAGACCCUAACUCUGGUCCAUCUCAAUCAUGAUGAGGAAUGAUCAUGCCUUAGCCACUCCUUCUCCAAAUGUUCUCCAAAUGAGUGAAUGAUAAAGCAUUACUACACAAUGUCUAUGUUCCAAGCAAAUAAGGUAGAAAGAUAACUAACCCCUGAACUCAAGGAGCUUACAUAAGACAUUGUAUACAAAUAAUACAUUAAAUUGGAGCUAAUAAAAGUGAGAAGUGAGCAGAAAAUUAAAAUUGACUAGAAAGUGACAAAGGAGUCCUAUUAAUUGAUAUUAUACAUAUUAAAAACAACUCUGAAGUACCAUCUCACUCCCAUUGGAUUGACUAAGAUGGCAAAAAAUGCUGGAGGGAAUGUGGGAAAACACAUAUAUUAAUGCAUCAUUGGUGGAGCUGCUAACUAUGCCAACCAGUCUGGAAAGCAGUUUGGAACUAUUCCUUAAAGUCUUUUAAACUUAACACACACUUUGACCUGGAAAUACCAGUACUUAACCCCUAAGGAGAUUUAAAAAAAAAAAGGAAAAGGACUGAUAUGAAGAAAAAGGUUUACAGUGUCUUUUUCUAUGGUGGCAAAGAAUUAGAAACGGAGAUGUCCAUCAAUUAUAGAAUGACUGCAUAAGCUGAGGUAUAGGAAUAUGAUGGUUUAAGAAAAAUCUGGGAAAAUUAAUAUGAACUAAUGCAAAGUGAAAUGAGCAGAGCCAGAAGAAUACAACAAUGGCAAUAUUGUAAAGAUAAUUAACAUGGAAAGACUUACAAACAAUAUGAUGGCUGUAAUAGGAAGAGGGCAUUUGCAAAAGA
Molecule: long non-coding RNA, 2994 nt
Organism: Monodelphis domestica (gray short-tailed opossum)
Lineage: Eukaryota; Metazoa; Chordata; Mammalia; Didelphimorphia; Didelphidae
Source: RefSeq, a predicted model, not a curated record